Molecule: unclassified non-coding RNA, 1155 nt
Filed under: Bombus terrestris (buff-tailed bumblebee)
Lineage: Eukaryota; Metazoa; Arthropoda; Insecta; Hymenoptera; Apidae
Description: misc RNA ENSBTSG00005036107.1
Source: RNAcentral
CUGGAAGAGGCUGAAAGAGCGGGACACGUCGACGAACGAAGGGGUGGAAAGGGCAGGGAUGCUGUGGGCAGAGAGCGGUUUCAGUCGCGCGACGGCUUUCGCCCAGGCCAGUCGAUCGAGCUCCUCUCCACAGGAAGAGCAUCUCGCGCUGCACACCAUGAGAUCAUCGGGAGAUUGCGUCGAUCCAACGGCUCGCGACUCGCGACGUACGCCAUCGAUGUGAUCGCGACCAGUGCGCAUUCGGUUGGUGUCUCCGAUUUCAGCAAUUUGAUCGAAAGUUUCUCUUCUAUCGAAAAUAUUUCAUUCGAAUGGAAAAAAGAGCAGUGGUCAAUCCAAUGUAUCCAGUUUCCGGCAGAAGUGUGAAACACCGUGUCGUGUCGUUUAAACGUGCGUCGAGCAAACAUGAUUAAAUUAAUGGUUCAGCGAUCGUGCGCCAAGAUGGACGAGUUGAUUUCGAUUGAACUGGAAAUCGUGUUGCCGUUUUAGCGACGUGAAAGCAUUCGAACAAGCUCUAUUCAUCGAGACUGGACGCGUCGUUCAAGGAGAUCGCACAACGUCGACAGGAUUCUUUUCCGGAAAUGAUCGCUUCCUCGGAGCAGUACGAGUGCAUGCAACUACGAGCCAGGCAAUGCCUAAUGCCCAGCCUGUUCUACUGAGGGCCAAAUAAAGAACGGAUAAAUCUAAGGAUAUGUUCUUGUUCGUGAGUCCGAAGAGAAUCGAACAAUUACAUAGAAUUGCCAAAGACCAACCAACGAUUAAGCUUUUCUGAAACAUAAAUUUAAUCACAUUAUUGAAAAAUGCAGAGAAAUAUAAGUUUAGCGAACAAAUAGUAUACGUUACUUUUGAUAAAUGCAAUUUGUAAUUCCAUUUUGAAAGAAGUUGACAUGUGGCCAUUCCUAUGAGAUAUGGCGGUAUUCUACACCACGGUCGUAUAUAAAAGUAUGUCAGCGUCUUAUAUUGUUCGUCCAAUCUAGAAAAGUAAAUAUAAGUAUAUUUACAAAUUUCUUAUGUUAUAAAGAAUGUUAAACAUUUUGCAUGCUUACGUAGGCUGGUAAUUAAGAGUGUAUCCCGUAUAAAAUAGUGAUCCUAUCGAUGAAACUAGCGUAACAACGCCUAUACCCACGGCAAUAUUGUAAUGCCUGAAACAGCCGAUUU